GAUCCUCUUCACUGCCUCCGCCACCACUACCUUCUUCUUCAUUCUCUGCCAUCUGAGCAUGAACAUGGAGCGAGUCCUCCGUGCUGCUUCCACUCACCAGCUGAUAGUGGCUUGGUUUGGCUUCAAUGUCCACUUGGAUUUCCAUAUUGUUGCAUUCUCUGUCCUGUGGGUUGUAGGAACUGAUUAUGGAACCGGCCAUAGCACGAGUGCUUGCGUUGUCACUA
Molecule: long non-coding RNA, 224 nt
Filed under: Homo sapiens (human)
Lineage: Eukaryota; Metazoa; Chordata; Mammalia; Primates; Hominidae
Description: LNC_000072
Source: RNAcentral